RNAcentral lists this ribosomal RNA (495 nucleotides) under uncultured bacterium. RNAcentral describes it as "partial 16S ribosomal RNA". It matches the Rfam family "Bacterial small subunit ribosomal RNA", at positions 28 to 507 of the family's 1533-position model. The record is from RNAcentral.
GACGAACGCUGGCGGCGUGCCUAAUACAUGCAAGUCGAACGCUGAAGGAGGAGCUUGCUUCUCUGGAUGAGUUGCGAACGGGUGAGUAACGCGUAGGUAACCUGCCUGGUAGCGGGGGAUAACUAUUGGAAACGAUAGCUAAUACCGCAUAACAGUAGAUAUCGCAUGAUAUCUACUUGAAAGGUGCAAUUGCAUCACUACCAGAUGGACCUGCGUUGUAUUAGCUAGUUGGUGAGGUAACGGCUCACCAAGGCGACGAUACAUAGCCGACCUGAGAGGGUGAUCGGCCACACUGGGACUGAGACACGGCCCAGACUCCUACGGGAGGCAGCAGUAGGGAAUCUUCGGCAAUGGACGGAAGUCUGACCGAGCAACGCCGCGUGAGUGAAGAAGGUUUUCGGAUCGUAAAGCUCUGUUGUAAGAGAAGAACGAGUGUGAGAGUGGAAAGUUCACACUGUGACGGUAGCUUACCAGAAAGGGACGGCUAACUACGUG